Molecule: unclassified non-coding RNA, 329 nt
Filed under: soil metagenome
Description: partial contains 5.8S ribosomal RNA, internal transcribed spacer 2, and large subunit ribosomal RNA
Rfam family: 5.8S ribosomal RNA (bases 1-120)
Source: RNAcentral
GAUGAAGAACGCAGCGAAAUGCGAUAAGUAAUGUGAAUUGCAGAAUUCAGUGAAUCAUCGAAUAUUUGAACGCACAUUGCGCCCCUUGGUAUUCCGAGGGGCAUGCCUGCUCGAGCGUCAUUAUAACCCCUCAAGCUCAGCUUGGUGUUGGGGCCUGCUGCACUGGCAGCCCUUAAAAUCAGUGGCGGCGCCAUCUGGCUCUAAGCGUAGUAAUUCUUCUCGCUAUGGAGUCCUGGUGGAUGCUUGCCAUCAACCCCCAAUUUUUCUAUGGUUGACCUCGGAUCAGGUAGGGAUACCCGCUGAACUUAAGCAUAUCAAUAAGCGGAGGA